UGGGGAAUUAUGGACAAUGGGGGAAACCCUGAUCCAGCCAUCCCGCGUGUGCGAUGAAGGCCUUCGGGUUGUAAAGCACUUUUGGCAGGAAAGAAACGUCAUGGGUUAAUACCCCGUGAAACUGACGGUACCUGCAGAAUAAGCACCGGCUAACUACGUGCCAGCAGCCGCGGUAAUACGUAGGGUGCAAGCGUUAAUCGGAAUUACUGUGCGUAAAGCGUGCGCAGGCGGUUCGGAAAGAAAGAUGUGAAAUCCCAGAGCUCAACUUUGGAACUGCAUUUUUAACUACCGGGCUAGAGUGUGUCAGAGGGAGGUGGAAUUCCGCGUGUAGCAGUGAAAUGCGUAGAUAUGCGGAGGAACACCGAUGGCGAAGGCAGCCUCCUGGGAUAACACUGACGCUCAUGCACGAAAGCGUGGGGAGCAAACAUG
This 429-nucleotide ribosomal RNA is filed under the name Acidobacteriota bacterium. RNAcentral's name for it is "Acidobacteria bacterium partial 16S ribosomal RNA". It matches the Rfam family "Bacterial small subunit ribosomal RNA", at positions 355 to 776 of the family's 1533-position model. Lineage: Bacteria; Pseudomonadati; Acidobacteriota. The record is from RNAcentral.